AUUGAACGCUGGCGGCAUGCCCUACACAUGCAAGUCGAACGGUAACAGGUCUUCGGAUGCUGACGAGUGGCGAACGGGUGAGUAAUACAUCGGAACGUGCCCAGACGUGGGGGAUAACGAGGCGAAAGCUUUGCUAAUACCGCAUACGAUCUAAGGAUGAAAGCAGGGGACCGCAAGGCCUUGUGCGUUUGGAGCGGCCGAUGGCAGAUUAGGUAGUUGGUGGGAUAAAAGCUUACCAAGCCGACGAUCUGUAGCUGGUCUGAGAGGACGACCAGCCACACUGGGACUGAGACACGGCCCAGACUCCUACGGGAGGCAGCAGUGGGGAAUUUUGGACAAUGGGCGAAAGCCUGAUCCAGCAAUGCCGCGUGCAGGAUGAAGGCCUUCGGGUUGUAAACUGCUUUUGUACGGAACGAAAAGGCUCUGGCUAAUACCUGGGGCACAUGACGGUACCGUAAGAAUAAGCACCGGCUAACUACGUG
RNAcentral lists this ribosomal RNA (482 nucleotides) under uncultured bacterium. Its description in RNAcentral is "partial 16S ribosomal RNA". It matches the Rfam family "Bacterial small subunit ribosomal RNA", at positions 30 to 507 of the family's 1533-position model. The record is from RNAcentral.